GCCUGGGUGGCUCAGUCGGUUAAGCGUCUGACUUUGGUGCAGGUUAUGACCUCACGGUUCGAGGGUUCAAGCCCCACCUCGGGCU
This 85-nucleotide transfer RNA is filed under the name Felis catus (domestic cat). It matches the Rfam family "tRNA". Rfam says of the family: Transfer RNA (tRNA) molecules are approximately 80 nucleotides in length. Their secondary structure includes four short double-helical elements and three loops (D, anti-codon, and T loops). The record is from Rfam by way of RNAcentral. Lineage: Eukaryota; Metazoa; Chordata; Mammalia; Carnivora; Felidae.